AGAGAGCGAACGAGAGAGACGGGCUAGGGAGAAGGGCGGCGUGCGGCUUUGUCCCGUGUGGAGUUUUUCUGGACCCGCGCGGAAGAGAAACGCAUUUACCACGGAAAGGGGAAGCGCGGAGAAAAAGGGAGCUGCCAAGCAGAUCCAGCGACGGAGCGCCGAUCCCUUUCCCUUCUCUUCCAAAGCGCUGUCGGUGUUGCCGCCGGCCGAGGAUGUUGGCCGGGCGCAGCGGCGGCUGGAAUACAUAGCCGGCGGGCAGGCGGGGGAGAGUUAGGGCUAGCCGCAGGUAGCCCGCGUGGCAUGUGAAAGGAGACUCGUCCGAGCGCGCAGAAAUCAGGGAUAACUCAGUUAUCUGGGAUCCUCGAGGAACCGGCUGAACCCGGGUCCUCGAAGGCUGACCGUUGCAAGGAAGGAAACUAAGUUCGUGGCCGGGACCCCCGCCUUUACGUUCCACCCUGAGGAUGUUCUAGAAGGCGGACUAUUAGUACUAACUUUGGGUGGUGGUGACAGGCGACGAACGCCGGCAGUUGGAGUAAAGAAGAAUGACACCGGCGUGGUGGUGAUUUUUAAUUCCUCUCCCCCCCCUCCCCGAGUUCCACGCAGCACGCAGACGCGCGCCCAAGAUUCACACGCGCGCACACGCGCGCACCCAGAGUUGGAAGGGGCCAAACAAAACUUUGCGCCCGAAUCUUGGACCCAAGCACGGAUUCCUGCUGGCGACGGAAUCCCUCAAAGUGGUUUGGAUGGAAGUACUCAGUGAUGAACACACCUACAUUCUGGAAGCAGGACAAAGAAGAACAGCUGAAAAACUUCUCAAGAUGAUGGUGGAACACUGGCCAGCUCCAUAAAUAAAAGGACCAGAAGAUCUGAUGGCCUCUUUGCCUGGAAAGAAGUUAUGAAAAUCAGUGUCUCCCAGGGGUGGGUUCUACUUACCUUUACUACCGGUUCGCAACUGAAUUGUGCGUACAUGCUCACUUCACUCGCGCAUACGCCUUGCUUCUGCACAUGCGCAGAUCGCUUCUCAUGGUCAGGGUCAGUGGGCGGAGCCUCCCGACGGUUUUACUACCGGUUCUAUAGAACCAGUCCGAACCGGGGGCAACCCACCACUGGUGUCUCCCCUUUGAAAAUGGUUUCUCAUACUAGCGUUAGUGAAGAUAUGGACAUGAUCAUUGUGGCCAAAUAUUUAUUUAUUAAAUAUAUACCUACCUGUUCUGCCCCAGCUACAGACCCCAAAGAAUACAGCACACACAAAGUUUGUACAAAACUUAAUUUACUAAAAUAACUCAGUCUUUUUCAAAGCAAAGGCUGUUAAGAAACUUUCUUAACAGCCUACAAGAAAUCAAAGAUAAAGUAAUCACAAUCUUACUAAGGUUGGCAGAAAGCCCAGAAGCAAUUUGCAGAGAAUCCAGAUGCGAAGUAGAGUGAACUAAAGUUGUUCCCUACAAAUUGCUUCAGUCAGCGUUCCUCCUUAAAUAGGCUAAGGGAGUGGCCAAUUAGCCCCAAGCCUUACUCUCAAGGAGACCUCCUCCUGAGGAGCCAGUCCUGCCUUUUGGCUGCUCUGCAUGCCCGUGCAUCGAGAAGAGGCUCCGUCCUCUUCACUUAUGGGAACGCCCUGGCUGAAUCCCCACCUCUGGCACCACAUCUUCUCCAGCCUCCUCAUUGUCCGACUCGAGUGCCAGCUGCACAGGCUGCUGGCGCAACACCACACCAGCCUCCUCGCUGUCAGAGUCAGCUACAAUCCGCACAGGCCACUGACGGGCCACAACACUACCCUGUUUCCCCAAAAAUAAGACAUCCCCUGAUAAUAAGCCCAAUCGGGCUUUUGAGCACAUGGCAAUAAGGCCAAGCACUUAUUUCAGGGUUCAAAAAAAUAUAAGACAGGGUCUUAUUUUCAGGGAAACAUGGGUAAAGCAUUCCCUUUUAUACUUUUCUCCCCAACAUCUGAAGGGGGUAGGUGGGGCUAAGACAAAAAGAUGAGGCUAAAGUCAACCAGUGAGCUUCCAAAAUGAGGGUGGAUUAGAACCCAAGUCUCCCAUUUCUGUUCAAGCACCUUUUCAACUACUCUCCAUUAACUAUUGGGCUGAGAAGAAGAGACUAGCCCCCCAAGUCAUCCAGGACAACCGGGUCAAAGAAGGACUUAGAACCCGAUUCUUCUUUUGCCUAGUCCAAUAUUUUCAACAUUAUGCCAUGCUGGAUCUCCAGUAUGACCUUCUUUGAAUGUCUACAGUAGUGGCCAAAAUUGUGGAAAACUUUUGGGAAAAGUGUAUUUUCUAAAACUAGCUAAUAACACCACUUUUUUGGGAGUAGUACCAUAAAAUUAUAUAUCAAUGGAAAGAUAAUUUAAGCAAGAAUGUAAUGCAAUAACUUUUAUGAAGGAUUUGCUAUUAGAAUAGCAGUUACAGCAUAAAGAAGAAAAGUGAAAUACAUAGAAAAAACGAGAUAUACAAAAAUUAUCACCAUAGAAAAAACGAGAUAUACAAAAAUGAUCCCCAUGUCAUUUAAUACUUAGUUGGGUAACCUUUAGCAUGAAUGACGGCCUUACAACGUCUUCCCAUGGAGUGAAUCAAGUCUUUUAGUUCUGCAGCUGUUAUCAUGUGAAACCAAGAUUGAAUGAUGGCUUCUAUUAACUGGGUUUUAUUGCUAGGUCGCUUCUGACUAGCAAGUUUCUUUAGUUGGCUCCAUAGAUUUUCAAUUGGGUUAAGGUCUGGGCUAUUCCCAGGCCAUUCCAGGAGUGGAAUAGGAUUAUCUUGAAACUCCAAAAAAAAAAAAAAAAAAGAAAGAAAGAAAAGAAAAAAAAAAAGAAAAAAAGAAAGAAAAGAAAAGUGGUGUUAUUAGCCAUCAAACCUCAAAAAUACACUUUCCCCAAAAAGUUUCCACAAUUUUGCCCACUACUGUAUAGACUACAUUAGUAUUCUCCAAACUUUCCAACCUCCCAAUUGUAUAUCUAGAAGGCAUCAGACUGGGAAAACCUGGUGACGGAGCUGCAAUUCAAUAGAAGACUACAUACCCAGUUUCCCCUAAAAUAAGCCCUCCUCUGAAAAUAAGCCCUCCCUGAAAAUAUUUAAACACAUGCGCAGCUGGUCCCUGCCAUUUCCUUUGGUUUCCUCCAUGCACCCCAAAAUAAUAAGACCUCCCUGAAAAUAAGGCCAAGUGCUUAUUUCAGGGCUCAAAAAAAUUUAAGACAGGGUCUUAUUUUCAGGGAAACACAGUGCUUCUUACGCUCCAAGUCCCAGAUUCAAUCUUCAGAAUCUCCAGUUAGUGUAAGAAAAAGGUUGUGGACUACAAGUUUCAAUAGUGAAGUACUGAAUAUUUUGCUGCGAUGGAAUCACAUCACAUACGUAGUGGUUCAGGUUCUUCAGGUUAUGUUAAGGUGUUCCUUCGUUAUUUACCCGUGCUUCGCUUAUUUUACUGCUUAUAUUAAAAUUUUCAUUUGUUUCUCAUGUCAACAUGGCAUGUGUUCAGCUCUUAUGGUUAAAAGGACCCUGAAGGCUGCAGAAUGUGAGUUUAGAAAUGGCAUGAUGUCCUGUGGCUGCAGAUUUCCAGUCCUUGUGGUAGAACCACGACCAGUCCAUACCUUAACUAGAUAAAUUGAAAGGCAUACUUGAAUAGAGGCCAGUUUCUUAUGCCCACAGAGUUAUCCUUCAGAUAUCCUGGUGUUUUUCAGAUGUUUGGAUUAGAUACAGCCCUUCCCCAUUGUUUGCUAUGGCCGUAAGUUGAAAUCUGCAGCAUCUGGAGGACACCAGGUGGCCUACCCUUGACUGGUUCUAAACUUUCUUUAAAAUGCUAAAUUGGUGAAUGUAUUCAUAUUGAAUCAAGAUGUUGGGAUCCAAUGUUCAAAACAAACAACUAAGUGCUUCAGGGACCAGGUCUAGCAAACGCACUGAAAAUUGGCUAGUAUUUCUCGAGACAUCUGGCUGGUUUAAUGCCCCUAAUAGCUUGACAUUUGGCCCUGAAUUUCUUCAGCUAAACGUAUCCAUCUGUACCUGGUUUGUUUUUCUUUGUUUAUGGAUGAUCCUUCCAAACUAUACCACAUAUCAGGACCUACAGUCAGAAGUCAAUCCUCACUGUUUUUGUGUGAUGGAAUGAACUCGCCGAUAAGAUUUUGCAUCCCCUUAAAAGGGAAGCCCCAAAUCAUUUUAUUUAUUGAUUUAUAAAAUUUAUAGACUGCCCACCUUGCCUCAAAGAAUUGUCCC
This is a non-coding RNA of Pantherophis guttatus, 4193 nucleotides long. NCBI's taxonomy places the organism in Eukaryota, Metazoa, Chordata, Lepidosauria, Squamata, Colubridae. The record is from RefSeq and is a predicted model, not a curated record.